Long non-coding RNA from Carassius gibelio (silver crucian carp), 1071 nucleotides. RefSeq lists it as uncharacterized. The transcript has 2 exons. The record is from RefSeq and is a predicted model, not a curated record. NCBI's taxonomy places the organism in Eukaryota, Metazoa, Chordata, Actinopteri, Cypriniformes, Cyprinidae.
CAACAGUGAGCAAGCAAUAAAACACCUGCUUCGAGUAGUGCACCACAUCUAUAAAACUUGCCAUCACAACACGACACCAAUGAUCAAACAAGGCAUUUAAUGAAUAAUCCGGAGUAGAUUUUUAUUUCUCGAAGAAAAUUAGACUUGUUGUUGCUAUGGCAUAACGUCUUAUUUUUCUUCUAGACAAUAAUUUGUUUAGAUCGCGGCACCGUUAUGUAGUUUUUUUUUUUACCCAGACUUGUCUAUUGUUGUCAAGUAUAGGUCUCUGCAGGAAAGCAAUGGGAGUUACAAGAUCAAGGUGUUUUUACACCAUGAUACCUGAUUGGUUGAUGUAAUAGUGACGUUAGGUUUAGGGAUGGGGUUGGGUAAGGGGGAUCAUUUAGAUUGCAUGAUUCAGAAACACCCAGCAGUUUUAAACCACCCACAUGGUGAUAAACGCCCACUUUUGCUCUGCAGAGACCUUUAAGUCUCAUUGUUGUGGUGUAAUGAUACAGCUUAGAUAACCCCGCCCCCUAAUCGUUACGUAUGAGCAAAGCGAACUGUGAUUGGUCAACCGCACGUCAACAAUCUAAAUGUGCAGUGACUGGUGAGCACUUUAAUUGUAUCACUGUGAGGCGGAAAAAUAUAAAAUAAACGUGCUUACUGAUUGACAUAGCGUUUAGAUGGCGUUUGUGCACUGUUUCAUUAAGAUCCGACAACGAAGUCCAAUGACAACGCUGACUUUAUAAGCAACGAAACUGUCAAAAUUGCAAGCAUGCAUGUCAGUCAGCUCCUCUUAUUAUAAAUAACGUUUAAGUUUUUCGCCUCUCCCUCUCGUUUUCAUUGUAGAUGCAGGUUUACCCAAUGUCGCACCUCAACCACAGCAGUUCACACAUGAAACUGAUCACAGUCAUCCGAGUUCAACUUCCUGCUCCUAAAUAUCAGAUCAUGAUGCUGUAUCAAACUUCGAAACGUCGCUUGACUUGUUAACGUGGACAUUAUUGCCCCUGCUGGUAGAUGCCCAAACUGCAACCAUUCUACGGAUAACCAGCAUCCAUCUCCCGACUCUCAUUCAAAAAUGCCUAUAAAUUU